UCAAAAAUCUGUUAAUCAGUGCAGUCUGAGUAUACGAGAAUGAAACAAAACUUUCAACAACGGAUCUCUUGGUUCUGGCAUCGAUGAAGAACGCAGCGAAAUGCGAUAAGUAAUGUGAAUUGCAGAAUUCAGUGAAUCAUCGAAUCUUUGAACGCACAUUGCGCCCUCUGGUAUUCCGGGGGGCAUGCCUGUUCGAGCGUCAUUA
Molecule: ribosomal RNA, 205 nt
Filed under: Caloplaca albopruinosa
Lineage: Eukaryota; Fungi; Ascomycota; Lecanoromycetes; Teloschistales; Teloschistaceae
Description: 5.8S ribosomal RNA
Rfam family: 5.8S ribosomal RNA (bases 49-202)
About the family: 5.8S ribosomal RNA (5.8S rRNA) is a component of the large subunit of the eukaryotic ribosome. It is transcribed by RNA polymerase I as part of the 45S precursor that also contains 18S and 28S rRNA.
Source: RNAcentral